AUCGAACGCUGGCGGCAUGCCUUACACAUGCAAGUCGAACGGUAACAGGUCUUCGGACGCUGACGAGUGGCGAACGGGUGAGUAAUACAUCGGAACGUGCCUAGUAGUGGGGGAUAACUACUCGAAAGAGUGGCUAAUACCGCAUGAGAUCUACGGAUGAAAGCAGGGGAUCGCAAGACCUUGUGCUACUAGACCGGCCGAUGGCAGAUUAGGUAGUUGGUGGGAGAAAAGCUGACCAAGCCGACGAUCUGUAGCUGGUCUGAGAGGACGAUCAGCCACGCUGGGACUGAGACACGGCCCAGACUACUACGGGAGGCAGCAGUGGGGAAUUUUGGACAAUGGGUGAAAGCCUGAUCCAGCAAUGCCGCGUGCAGGAUGAAGGCCUUCGGGUUGUAAACUGCUUUUGUACGGAACGAAAAGCCCCGGGUUAAUACCCUGGGGUCAUGACGGUACCGUAAGAAUAAGCACCGGCUAACUACGUGCCAGCAGCCGCCGUAA
This 498-nucleotide ribosomal RNA is filed under the name uncultured bacterium. RNAcentral describes it as "partial 16S ribosomal RNA". It matches the Rfam family "Bacterial small subunit ribosomal RNA", at positions 30 to 523 of the family's 1533-position model. The record is from RNAcentral.